UACGUAGGGAGCGAGCGUUGUCCGGAUUUAUUGGGUGUAAAGGGUGCGUAGGCGGCUAUGUAAGUCAGACGUGUAAUUCAGAGGCUUAACCUCUUGGCUGCGUUUGAAACUGCACAGCUUGAGUGGAGUAGAGGCAGAUGGAAUUUCCAGUGUAGCGGUGAAAUGCGUAGAUAUUGGAAGGAACACCGGUGGCGAAGGCGAUCUGCUGGGCUCUAACUGACGCUGAGGCACGAAAGCAUGGGGAG
Molecule: ribosomal RNA, 245 nt
Filed under: uncultured Clostridia bacterium
Lineage: Bacteria; Bacillati; Bacillota; Clostridia
Description: partial 16S ribosomal RNA
Rfam family: Bacterial small subunit ribosomal RNA
Source: RNAcentral